UCCCCGACGCAGAUGUAUAUCCAGCUCCCGUCGCAUAGCCGCUGCCGCCGUUCGAUCAUGAAAUCCAAUCCACCGGCGGCCACGAUCCAGGCAAGCAGCAGCGGUCCGCCUCUCUGGUGUUGCUCCUACCGCCAGGGUUCCGGACCUACCCAGGCCAACCGCCCGCUGCGGCGCGCCGAGUCCGCCGAGCCUCCUCUGCCCCACUGCCCCCUGCAGCGCCUCCCUCCGCCGAGCAGCCGGUGACGCCCAGCAACGCCGGCCAUUAGCCCAUGGACAGAUUGUUCGUACUUAUAUUGUUGAAGCAAGUGAGUGACUGCCAUCGUCGGUGUGGCUGCAGAAUGAACAAACUGCCCUGCCCCAACUACGUAACGUAGGUAUCCGUAAAUUCCCUGGUAUAUUUUACAGUUUGUUGAAAUUCUCGAACGAAGCACAACAAUCGCCUUUUUUUGUCACCAACAAAUUCAGUUUUGUACAUCAAUCAGCAAUAGUAUGUUGGCCAGAUUAUACAAUACAAAUGGAUGGAAAAAGAGUUGGUAUGCAUUGACCCAGGCUGCACCAUACGUAGAGUAUUUACAGUAGGGACGUGAUCUCUGAAUCAACAUGUCAAACACUAGACAACCUGUUAAUUUUAAUGCCAACUCACUUUGAUUGUUACUGGAUUGGAGGGUCCAAGGUGAUCAACAACAGAUUGCAGCGUGAAAUUUGCUUAAUAAAACAAGAUGUCUAUUGCAAAAUACCUAAGAUACGACCAGUCAGCUUGCUGCGAAGUCUGCAUUGAACUGUUGCUAUAAUUCUAUCGGAAAGCCUUUGUGAGGUACGUGAGUUGUGGAAUUUGAGUCACGCGGCAUGUUUCCGGGCAUAUCAAUCAAAUGAGGAGUAUCAGUGUCUGAAGAUGGUUCUGAAUGCACAAGAUGGCAACAAGGAAUCAAGUAGUGGUCAGAAGGAAUGCAUUAGGUUUGGUCCGGUGUUGCCACAGACAACGGAAAUUGAUUCUGGUAAUUUGGGAAAGGUUCUUGAUCCCGUUCAGGUUUGGUUCGGUGUUGCCACAGACGACGGAAAUUGAUUCUGGAGAUUUGGGCCCGUUCAUGUGCAAGGCCGAGGUGCACCGAAGAAAAGGUUGCGGGCAAAGAUGAAGUAGCAAAGAUCAAAGAGGAAAUGUGGCUAUUGUAGGGUAGAAGGUCGUGAUCGGCGUAUAUGCAAUAAAUUGAAAGAGGACAUGAUGGCAGCAAACUGUUAGCUACGGCUCUCUGUAUAGGAGGUUUCGUGAUAUAUUGUAUGACUCGUGGUCACCUGCGAUGACCGUAAAAGUGUCCCCUGAGAUUCUGAGAUUCUGGGAACCAUGUGCUGAAUCUUUUGGUGAUGUCUGAUUGCAUCAUUCAUGCUUUAAACCUGCGGCGCCCGUCGCCAUGGCCUUGCCCCGAGCGGCCGCCGGCCCGGGGCUAGCCGCUGGCAGGCCUCCCCAUCACCGUCCAGCCUCGUCGUCGCCACAUCCGGCAGACGCCGCCGCGAAUCCGCCUC
Long non-coding RNA from Triticum dicoccoides, 1518 nucleotides. RefSeq lists it as uncharacterized. NCBI's taxonomy places the organism in Eukaryota, Viridiplantae, Streptophyta, Magnoliopsida, Poales, Poaceae. The transcript is spliced from 4 exons. The record is from RefSeq and is a predicted model, not a curated record.